CGCAGCCGCGGUAAUUCCAGCUCCAAUAGCGUAUAUUAAAGUUGUUGCAGUUAAAAGCUCGUAGUUGAAUUUCGGGAUUGACACAUCGGUCGUGCCUUAAGGGGUAUGAACUGGUAUAGUCAAUUUCUCACCUUCUGGAGAACCGCGAUGCCCUUAAUUGGGUGUCGCGGGGAACCAGGACCUUUACUUUGAAAAAUUAGAGUGUUUAAAGCAGGCAUUUUGCUUGAAUACAUUAGCAUGGAAUAAUAAAAUAGGACGGCAUGAUUCUAUUUUGUUGGUUUCUAGGAUCACCGUAAUGAUUAAUAGGGAUAGUUGGGGGCAUUAGUAUUCAAUUGUCAGAGGUGAAAUUCUUGGAUUUAUUGAAGACUAACUACUGCGAAAGCAUUUGCCAAGGAUGUUUUCAUUAAUCAAGAACGAAAGUUAGGGAUCGAAGACGAUCAGAUACCGUCGUAGUCUUAACCAUAAACUAUGCCGACUAGGAAUCAGACGAUGUUAAUUUUUAAUGUACUUCGUUUUGGCA
RNAcentral lists this unclassified non-coding RNA (520 nucleotides) under uncultured Entrophospora. RNAcentral describes it as "SSU rRNA". It matches the Rfam family "Eukaryotic small subunit ribosomal RNA", at positions 569 to 1085 of the family's 1831-position model. Lineage: Eukaryota; Fungi; Glomeromycota; Glomeromycetes; Entrophosporales; Entrophosporaceae. The record is from RNAcentral.